RNAcentral lists this unclassified non-coding RNA (222 nucleotides) under Hevea brasiliensis (rubber tree). The record is from RNAcentral. Lineage: Eukaryota; Viridiplantae; Streptophyta; Magnoliopsida; Malpighiales; Euphorbiaceae.
GGAAGGAGGGGGUGGAGUGGAGGCAACUCCUAUAGAAGGAAGCAGAAGAUAUUCCCAAAACUACUACUAGAGUGAAAAGGAUAUGAAUAAGUGGAGAAAAUAUUAGAAAAUAUAUUGCAUGUGAGAACCACAUCAUGGCAGAAAUCUAAUGCAUUUCGAUGAAAAGUGUGUGCCAACUCCACUUAGAUGGAUAGAGGCACCACUACUGCUACAGAACCGUAA